GGAAACUUACAAUCAUGAUGGAAGGUGAAGGGAAAGCAAGGCACCUUCUUCACGAUCAUGGUGGAAGAGAUUCAGGCAAGUCUCAUGUGGCAGCAGGCAAGAGAGAGAGAAGGGAUUCUGGUCCAGAAGUCCCCCCUGGCAGCUGUCACCCUACGGAUUUGCAGAGAUGAACUCUCUUACUGGGCCUCCAGUGGAAGUGAGAAGGAAGCUGAUUUCUGCAGAGGAAGACAGGGAGAUGACAGGUUUCUUUGAUAGAUGUUUGAAUUUUGUUUUUCUAGGGCAAGGCAACUCAUUUGGUGGACAUAACAGGCAAUCUGGUCUCCACACAGACAAUCCAGAUGGUUGUUACGAGUUGAGAGGAGCUGGCCAUCGGGAGGCUCAGGCCAGCUCUUUUAUUACAGACCAUCUUCUCCCCACAGUCUGCAAGCUGCAUGGUUUCCUCUGAAGGACUGCGUGUUUAAAAAUUCAAACAUCCAUACGACUCUUUAUUUUCAAAAAUUAAGUGCUACAUAGAAGUAUGCUAAACUCAAGGCCAUGAAAUACUAUCCAGUUUUGCCAUCUUCCUAAGGCAAAAUGCUCAUGAGUUGGAAGCAUGGGACACAUUAAUCAACAUAGAGCUAAUCCUGGCUCUGACCUUAGCUCACUGUAUGGCCUCAGACCACUCACGUCUCUUCUCUGGAUUUUAUCCACCUCCAAGUGUAAAUAGUCUUGGGUCCCUAUCAGUUUUGACAGAAAAUGAUAGGUUUAAUUCAAUAAGUCUGUCUCAAUUCGAAUCACUGGGUUUUUAAUUAGUACAGUAGUCUUUCCUUAAUUACAGGGGAUACAUUCUAAGACACCCUGUAGGUGGCUGAAACCACAGGCAGUACUGACCCUAUUGCCAUCAAGUGGAACAUGUUUCGGUUCAUGUCUUCUAUCCACAAAUGUAGAGCCUUUUUCAUUUUAACUAAGCACUUAACACGCACCGCAGCUGUAACUUUUGCAGUUUGAGGUGUGACAGCAAAACUAGCAUGAAUUUCUUUUUUUCUUCACAAUUUCUUGAGUAGAAGACUGAAUCUUAGCAGCCUCAGCACACAAUUUUUUUUCUUUCCUGAAGCCGAGAACUUUCCUCUUUUCACUUAAAGGCAGCACUCUAUGGCUUCUGUUUAGUACAUCGACGUUGCCAGCAUUACUACUCUUGCGCUCCAGGACCAUUAUGCAGUAAAAUCAGGGUGAUCUGAACACAAGCAUGGUGGCACCACCAUAGUCGAUCUGAUCUCUGAGGUUGCUGCUCAGUGAGUCAUGAGUGGGGAGCAUGGAUAGCGUGGAUCCGCUGGACAGAGGCUGAUUCACUUCCCAGGAAUGAACGUGGAAGUGUAUCCAACUGGAAGAAUAAGUCCAAACCAAGGAGAUUUUGAGAGUCAAACUUAGGGAAAACCAAGAAGAAACUAAAAGUCCAGAGAUUGAACCACCAAAUGUAAGAACUAAUCUCCUACUAAUAGGAGGAAUCAACAUGUUCUUUCCAACAGACCUGUAGCCUCUGAUGGCACACAGUGUCACUGAGAUCAGCUGGGUGGUCAGGUGUUUGAGCCACCUUGAAACACCAGCAGCUGAGGAAAAGAGCUCCUGCUGCACCUGCUGGGAGCGGUGGGGUUGGGGCUUCCCACUUCCCGAAGCCCUGGAAAAGGGCACCCAGACAUUUUACAGAAUCCUUGAGAUGGAAGGUGAGUUUUCCAGGCCAUUCCACAGGUUAAGCCUGCUGGCUGAUUCAGCCAUACAGGAGAGUUUGCCUGGGAAUGGAUACCCCAGUGGCUGCUACUUUGACUGAUAAAGCAAGCCCAGGAAGAUGGUUGAGAAUAGUUUGUGCACUCCGAUUAUCUCUGACAUUUUCCCAACUCAUAGUUGGAGCAGAGCUAUGACAAAGGCAUGCAUGUUGCUAGUGCAGACAUCCUCUUGGCUGUUAAGGGCUGAAUUCUGUACCCCCACGUUCAUAUGUUGAAACCCUAACAUCCAAUAUCUCAAAAUGUGCCUGUGGAGACAGGGCCUUCAAAGAGGUUGCUGAAUUAAAAUUUGGUCAUAUGGGUGGGCCUAAUCCAAUCUCACCUGUGUGUUUAUAAAAGGAGAUUAGAACACAGACACGCCAGGGGGAAGACCAUGUAGGGAAACAGGGCAAAGGAACUGCCUGCAAGCAAGAGAGAGGCCACAGAGGGAACCAACUCCGCAGACAUUUCGAUCUCGGGCUUCCAGCCUCCAGAACUAUGAGACAAUACAUUUCUACUGUUUAGCCACCCAGUCUUCAUACUUUGUUACAGGGGCCCUAGCCACCUGUAGACCAGCAUAGGGUCAAAAAGCUGUCAUGACCAAGUGCCCACACUGGGUCAGCAGUCCCAGAAGCAGUAUCAGAAUCAUCUGUGCAGAUAAAACUCUGAAGUCCAAGAAAGAGCCAUUGGCACACAAAUAAGACCAGAACAAAUCAGGGAACCAGGUGAUGACCUUUACUGUCAGAGAUCCGUGUAUACAGUACAGUCAGCUGACAAGAGGGCUCUCAAUCGUGGCCACAUAUUUGAAUCACCUGGGGAGCUGUUAAAACCCAUGACACUAGGUCACAACCUAGACAAAUGAAAUCGGAAUCCCUGGAGGGUGAGACCCAGGCAUCAAGAAGGAUUUAAGAUCUCUGCAAGAUUCAAAUAGGCAGCCAAAGUUGAGAACAGCUGGCUUAAAGAGAUUACGAGACUUUGUUACAGUAUCUCAGCACGGAUUACAUUUCAAUUUAGUUCUUUGCUAUUAUUCUUAUCCUCUGAAAUGUUUACACCACACGACGGCCUAUCACUGGCUCUGAAUUUUAUAUCAUAAUCACAUAAUAGGUUCCUCACUUAAGUUGUAGACAUAGGCAAAACUUUUCUUGUUUUUGAUGUAAGAUAAAGGGAGAGAAUGACUGGAGCAAAACAAAAAUAAGAUAAUACAAAAUAAGUCAUGGGGUGGCAUCACAUUUUAAGAGUCUUCAUUUAUGACAAAAGCACAAGCUUAUUUGUUGGGGACAUAACUUUUGCCAUUUUUCCUACCUUGACUGUUUAAGCUCGCAGCAAUUUUAUAGCUCGCUGUACAGGCUAAGGCUUUUGGUGCCUUUCUUUUUUAAGCUGUGUCAAAAUACCUUUAAGGAAAAAAGAUGAUUUGAAAGGUAUAAACCCAACGAAAGUAAUAGCACAGUUACAGUUUUUGUGUUUGGGCAGAUUUUAAGACAUUUCUAUGUAUUUUUCUGACACAAUGGAUCCUAAGGACUGCCGUAGACGUAGAUUAGUCUGAUUUUAGGCCAUUGCUUUGCAGCAUUAUGCAGUUUUUAUCUGAAAGACGUUUCAAGAGGGGGAGCUAGUUAGCUAAUUAAUUAGAGAUUGUGACUUAAAUUUUUCAGACAAGAGAUACUUUCCGAGUUUAAGGAGAACCCGAAGAAAGCUGCGUUUCUGUAUCCGUGCCAUGGGAAGUCUCCUGUCCUGUUUCCACUCUGCCUUCUCCAUAAAGCAGGCUGAUUAUCAGGGCCCUCACACAAGCCCAGCGUGGUAGCUGAUUAAGGCUUGACAAGCAAAAAGCAAACAGGAUUUCUAAUCAUGUGUCUCAUAGAAAUGGAGCCACAAAAACCCAAAGAAUUGCCAUUACACCCCAAGUCAUGCAAUUUAGAGCAACUCAGGAAAUAGGUGCACACAAGCAAACCAUGUGGUUAAAGCCUUUGGAACUGGUUUGAGCAAAGCUGUAGGUGAUUUGACAAAAUCAUCUGCAAAACCAGAUUUCUAACACCUCCCUGCUGUGUAUCUCAUUUCUGCUGAUGUGUGGUGCUUCAUAAGAUGGGGACGUUAAGCAUGCAGCAACUACAGUCAUUUGUUCUCAGAGGUCUGGACCAAAGAGAAACAAGAAAAGCUGGAGUCACACUACCAAAGGCCGAAGCUGAGCAACAGAGCUCUGGAGUCAGCUGCCUGGGUUCAGCAUGCAGCGCUGCCGUGGACGAUCUGUCUCUCUUGCAUAUAUGACUUACCAGUUUUACUUUCAGUCUCUCCAUUUCUAAUUAAAUGAGAUGCAGAAAUGCUGGUGCCUUGCUAUGAUGUUUGCAGUUAUUAUUUCUAGGAAAAAAAAUAUUAUUGUUACUCAGUAUCUGGUACAUCAAAACUAAGCCAGAAACGUUUAAAAAGAACAAAAGUAUCAUUUCUACUUAAUUCUCUAGCUACUUGGACAACUGGACUAUGCCCCUCCUUUCAAGGGAGGGCAAAGCAUUUCAGAAAAGAACUAAGUGCUAUUUCUCUGCUUCAGGAAUGUCUCCCGUAUGUAAAAGAAUGUGGCUUCAGGGAGUAGCAUGUGUUGUAAAGGUGGAUGGGUCUAACUUCAUGGACAGCUCUGACAUCCACUAGCUAUGCCACCUGAUGCAAACCACUUGGGCUGUCUGUAGUUUCGUUUAUCUUUCUGGAAUUGGUAAUAACAACCACCUGGCAAGAUCACUGUUAUGAAUACGGAGGAUCAAAGUUGUGAAGUUAUUUUGUAAAGUGAAAUGUUCUGAAAAUUGGAUUUUAACAGUGUCAGCGAAAAGUAGAUUUUUGACAUUUAUCAAGAGUUCAGCUAAUGAAAACAAGUAUGGAUAAUAGUUACAUAGAACUGUCUACUUUACUCAGUACUUUAGCAUAUGCUAUUAUAUUUAAUCUUCUUAAAAAGUAGAAAAUUAUACAAGCCAUGUAUUACUAUUAUUGUGGUGGUUGUCGUUCUCAAUUACACACUGAAUAUUAAGACCUCUCAGGUAGCAGCUGGAAGGACAUUGUAUCCAGUUUCCUGAUUGUUUUCAAUGGAAUAAUCAUGUAUACAUGCACUACUAAUGAGACAAUGGUGAUUCUAAAAGCUUAA
This 4854-nucleotide long non-coding RNA is filed under the name Homo sapiens (human). RNAcentral describes it as "HSALNT0300191". The record is from RNAcentral. Lineage: Eukaryota; Metazoa; Chordata; Mammalia; Primates; Hominidae.